Molecule: long non-coding RNA, 87 nt
Organism: Etheostoma spectabile (orangethroat darter)
Lineage: Eukaryota; Metazoa; Chordata; Actinopteri; Perciformes; Percidae
Exons: 3
Source: RefSeq, a predicted model, not a curated record
CCCCACAAAAAAAGAUUACUAAUUUCAAAUUAGACAUGAGUCAAGCUAUUGGUUGCAUUUGAAGCAGGAAGUUUUACAUCCAAUCAC